AUUUCUUGGGAGAGACAUCCAAUAAAAUUAAAACAAAUACAAAGAAGAUUAGCAUGACCCCUGCGCAAUGAUUACACGCACAAAUCAGAAAAGGGUCCAAAUUUU
Telopea speciosissima is the source of this 105-nucleotide small nuclear RNA. The record is from RefSeq and is a predicted model, not a curated record. NCBI's taxonomy places the organism in Eukaryota, Viridiplantae, Streptophyta, Magnoliopsida, Proteales, Proteaceae.